GUGCAUGCCCGGCUGCCGUUGCUGCCCCUGCCUCGUACAAACGUCAGAGAAGGCACAUGACACGCCCCUGGGGGCCCUCUGGCCGAAGUCCACCUGCGCGGCUGAGUGGAGGAUGCUAGGUUGCUGUGCUGUUUCUCCUACUGUCUUGCUGCCGCACCACCCCUCAGAAAAAGCGGGUCCUCAGUUUCCUGCGGUUUGCACUCACCAAACAUAAUUAGCAAUCUGCAAUUCACCCGCAGGAUUAUUCCCGCCUCUUUGAUUACACACAGAAGGACGAGCCUUCCUCGUGAGGGUUGGAGAUGGAAGGAGAAGGGAUCGAGAGUAAGGAUGGGACCGAGCUUGUGGAGCAGAAGACCAACACGCCAGAAAGGAAAAUAAUGAUCAUCUCAAUUUUUAUAUGUGAAGGCAUUGCUUUUCUUCUUUGGGGGAUUUUAAGAUUUCCCAGAAAAUUUGGAAUUCCAAGGCACCUUAGAAACAAGACAUGCCUAGAAAAUUUAACUAUGUGUCCACAAGGCUGGAAAUGAAUCAAUAAUAAUUGCUUCUUUCAAUCUGAACAUGAAACAACGUGGAUCAAUGGCUGAGAAAACUGCAGAAGUUAUGAAUCUCUGGCCAGGCUCAACUCUCAGAAUGAAAUGGGAAUCUUUGAUGCAUUAUCUGGGGCCGUCUUUAUACUGGUUUGAACUGAGCAAGCACAAUGCAAACAAAACGUGGAUGUGGGCAGAUGGAGCUACAUUCAGCAAUUGUCAAGUUAUGAAACUAGCGAAUUAUUUACAUUAAGUGGAUUUGUUGUUGCUGUCGUUGCUGAAACUAGUGAAAGAAUUGAGUUUUGUGCUAUGAGUCAUGGGAGCAAAACGUGAGUAUUUAGAAAUGGAGAGGACCACGAAGAAGGAAGCCCUGGUGACUUGAAGAAAUCAUGGAGAGUUCUCUGGAUUCCCACAAACCUAUGGGGUUUAGAUUCCAGCUAAUACUUACACGGGUCUCAGAAGGACAGAGGGCAAGGGUUAACAUCUGGCUGACA
Gorilla gorilla gorilla (western lowland gorilla) is the source of this 1018-nucleotide long non-coding RNA. RefSeq lists it as uncharacterized. NCBI's taxonomy places the organism in Eukaryota, Metazoa, Chordata, Mammalia, Primates, Hominidae. The record is from RefSeq and is a predicted model, not a curated record. The transcript is spliced from 5 exons.